CUUUAAAAUAAGAUUCUGCCUCCUAUCUUCUACUUGAAUGUUUCAAAUGACCAGACGAGAGCAGGGAGACCUCUCUAUUCCAUGUGGAAGUUCUAAGAGGUAGGAGAGUAGCAAAAUGAAUACGACAGUGCGGCAACUCUAAUGAAAUCUACAUUUUUCCCAUUAUCAAUCUACAGGUUUCAAUAGAAUUAGAGCAAUAGCAUUUUUUUUUCCAGCCAAAACUGAAAUUAGAAAGUUUUUCCACAUCUGGUAAUUAAAAGAAAACAAAACCCA
RNAcentral lists this long non-coding RNA (273 nucleotides) under Bos taurus (domestic cattle). RNAcentral's name for it is "long non-coding RNA NONBTAT014286". Lineage: Eukaryota; Metazoa; Chordata; Mammalia; Artiodactyla; Bovidae. The record is from RNAcentral.